Cicer arietinum (chickpea) is the source of this 568-nucleotide non-coding RNA. NCBI's taxonomy places the organism in Eukaryota, Viridiplantae, Streptophyta, Magnoliopsida, Fabales, Fabaceae. The record is from RefSeq and is a predicted model, not a curated record.
CAUCUUCCUUGCUUUUAAAUUUUAUAUACCCUGCUUGAAUUGUGUUUCUUGAUAUGGAGGACAAAUCCAAUGAAAACAUUGAUUCCUCAUAUGAUAAAAUAGCUGAAAUGAAAGCUUUUGAUGAAACAAAAGCUGGUGUAAUGGGUCUUGUACAACGUGGGGUGACAAAGAUUCCACGCAUGUUCUAUUCUGGAGAAUUCACUGAAAACUCUGAUGGUAACACAAAGUUAAGUGUUCCCGUCAUUGACCUCAAAAACAUAAACAAUGAUCCUAUUCAUCGUGUGGAAAUUCUUAGCCAAAUUCGAACUGCAUGUAAGGAGUGAGGAUUUUUCCAAGUGAUUAAUCAUGGGAUUCCUGUUAAUGUCUUGGAUGGAAUGAUUGAUCGGAUUGAGGAGGCAAAUUUUCACAUCCACUAAGAAACAAGUGCAGGUGUGGAUUUUCCCGAUUAAUAAAGUGUAGAAUUGAAGAAACAGAAUUCGCCUCCGCUCCGCCUCGUUGUCAUGUCUAUAUAUCUCUAUCAUUAAUUUUUUGUGCUCUUCAAAUUUUUAUUUUGUGCCAAAAUAAAAUU